UACGAAGGGUGCGAGCGUUAUUCGGAUUUAUUGGGCGUAAAGGGUGCGUAGGCGGCAUGUUAAGUCAACUGUUAAAGCCCCCAGCCUAACUGGGGAUCGGCGGUAGAUACUGAUGUGCUAGAGGGUGGAAGAGAGAAGUGGAAUUCUUGGAGUAGCGGUAAAAUGCGUAGAUCUCAAGGGGAACACCGAUGGCGAAGGCAGCUUCUUGUCCACAUCUGACGCUGAUGCACGAAAGCUUGGGGAGCAAACAGG
Molecule: ribosomal RNA, 252 nt
Filed under: uncultured bacterium
Lineage: Bacteria
Description: partial 16S ribosomal RNA
Rfam family: Bacterial small subunit ribosomal RNA
Source: RNAcentral